This 253-nucleotide ribosomal RNA is filed under the name uncultured bacterium. RNAcentral describes it as "partial 16S ribosomal RNA". It matches the Rfam family "Bacterial small subunit ribosomal RNA", at positions 524 to 776 of the family's 1533-position model. The record is from RNAcentral.
UACGAAGGGAGCUAGCGUUGUUCGGAAUCACUGGGCGUAAAGCGCACGUAGGCGGAUUUGCCAGUCAGGGGUGAAAUCCCGGGGCUCAACCUCGGAACUGCCUUUGAUACAGCAAGUCUUGAGUUCGAGAGAGGUGGGUGGAAUUCCUAGUGUAGAGGUGAAAUUCGUAGAUAUUAGGAAGAACACCGGUGGCGAAGGCGGCCCACUGGCUCGACACUGACGCUGUGGUGCGAAAGCGUGGGGAGCAAACAGG